RNAcentral lists this unclassified non-coding RNA (335 nucleotides) under soil metagenome. RNAcentral describes it as "partial contains 5.8S ribosomal RNA, internal transcribed spacer 2, and large subunit ribosomal RNA". The stretch from base 1 to 120 matches the Rfam family "5.8S ribosomal RNA", at positions 35 to 154 of the family's 154-position model. The record is from RNAcentral.
GAUGAAGAACGUAGCGAAAUGCGAUACGUAAUGUGAAUUGCAGAAUUCCGUGAAUCAUCGAAUCUUUGAACGCACAUUGCGCCCGCUAGUAUUCUGGCGGGCAUGCCUGUUCGAGCGUCAUUUCAACCAUCAAGCCCUGUGCUUGUGUUGGAGCCCUGCGGCUGCCGCAGGCUCCCAAACCCAGUGGCGGGCUCGUCGUCGUACCGAGUGCAGUAAACAUACCACGCUCAGGGCACGCGACGGGUGACCGGCCGUAAAACCCCCCCCCUUCUCAAGGUUGACCUCGGAUCAGGUAGGAAUACCCGCUGAACUUAAGCAUAUCAAUAAGCGGAGGA